This 465-nucleotide long non-coding RNA is filed under the name Dermacentor andersoni. RNAcentral describes it as "uncharacterized LOC126527205". The record is from RNAcentral. Lineage: Eukaryota; Metazoa; Arthropoda; Arachnida; Ixodida; Ixodidae.
CCGCCCUCUUCCCCUUCCUCGCCUUCCCCUCCACUUCUGGUGGACGUGUCGCUUUGCAAUCCUAGAACUCGUACUUGUUUACAUUCUGACCGUUUAGCUCUUUUGACCGGUUGCUUUUGCCAAUUUCUCUUGGGCAGGGCGUUGCAGGAGAGACUGAGGAGGCGCAGGAGGGCGUUCGCGUCCAGGGAUGUCGGAAAUGACGAACCCAAAGAGAGCGUCGUGCAGUACGACAACGAAGCCUUCACGGACGAUGAGAAAAGCGAGGAUUUUCCGGCCGCCUCCCCAUCGGUGUCCCCGUCAUCGGCGAGACAGUCGCCCCGUCGUCUGCCACCGCUUCGGGAACGGGUCGCCGAAGCUUCAGAUGCAGAUCUCAGCUCCGGGAGCCAGACUCCAAGUUCCGUGGCCAGCUCUAGGGUCAGUGCUGCGGACAGAGACCGCAGGCGCCGAAGGCCAUCCGAGGUUGGU